AAAAUAGAGAAUUGAGUGACUUACUCAAGAAAGUCUUUGUUUGCUUUCUUAGGUUUAGUGAGAAGCAAGGAGACCGUAGAGGAAAGAGAAUGGCAAAUGAACAAUCCAUUAAUCUGUGAAAGGAUUUUUUAUCGUGAUAAAAGGUACAAUGUUGGUGUGAGAUAUACAAACGGUUUUGUGUUUGGUGAGUUUAGAUCUUGGAAAA
Molecule: long non-coding RNA, 205 nt
Filed under: Arabidopsis lyrata
Lineage: Eukaryota; Viridiplantae; Streptophyta; Magnoliopsida; Brassicales; Brassicaceae
Description: long non-coding RNA (ALYR_LNC000950)
Source: RNAcentral